Molecule: ribosomal RNA, 413 nt
Filed under: uncultured bacterium
Lineage: Bacteria
Description: bacterial SSU rRNA
Rfam family: Bacterial small subunit ribosomal RNA
Source: RNAcentral
CGCUGGCGGCGUGCCUAACACAUGCAAGUCGAACGGGGUGUUCCUUCGGGGACACUUAGUGGCGAACGGGUGAGUAACGCGUGAGGAACCUGCCUUCCAGGUGGGGGCACUCCCCGAAUAACCAAAGCUUUAUGUGCUAGAAAGAUGGUCUCGCGUCUGAUUAGCUAGAUGGCGGGGUAACGGCCCACCAUGGCGACGAUCAGUAGCCGGUCUGAGAGGAUGAACGGCCACAUUGGGACUGAGAUACGGCCCAGACUCCUACGGGAGGCAGCAGGUGGGGAAUAUUGGGCAAUGGGGGAAACCCUGACCCAGCAACGCCGCGUGAAGGAAGAAGGCCUUCGGGUUGUAAACUUCUGUUGUAAGGGACGAAACAAAUGACGGUACCUUACGAGGAAGCCACGGCUAACUACGUG